This 161-nucleotide ribosomal RNA is filed under the name Coronidium rutidolepis. RNAcentral's name for it is "Helichrysum rutidolepis 5.8S ribosomal RNA". It matches the Rfam family "5.8S ribosomal RNA". From Rfam's summary of the family: 5.8S ribosomal RNA (5.8S rRNA) is a component of the large subunit of the eukaryotic ribosome. It is transcribed by RNA polymerase I as part of the 45S precursor that also contains 18S and 28S rRNA. Functionally, it is thought that 5.8S rRNA may be involved in ribosome translocation. The record is from RNAcentral. Lineage: Eukaryota; Viridiplantae; Streptophyta; Magnoliopsida; Asterales; Asteraceae.
ACGACUCUCGGCAACGGAUAUCUCGGCUCACGCAUCGAUGAAGAACGCAGCAAAAUGCGAUACUUGGUGUGAAUUGCAGAAUCCCGUGAACCAUCGAGUUUUUGAACGCAAGUUGCGCCCAAAGCCAUUUGGUUGAGGGCACGUCUGCCUGGGCGUCACGC